GCAGGCUGCAACUCGCCUGCAUGAAGUCGGAAUCGCUAGUAAUCGCGGAUCAGCAUGCCGCGGUGAAUACGUUCCCGGGCCUUGUACACACCGCCCGUCACACCAUGGGAGUCGGUAACACCCGAAGCCAGUAGCCUAACCGCAAGGAGGGCGCUGUCGAAGGUGGGAUUGAUGACUGGGGUGAAGUCGUAACAAGGUACC
RNAcentral lists this ribosomal RNA (201 nucleotides) under uncultured bacterium. Its description in RNAcentral is "partial 16S ribosomal RNA". It matches the Rfam family "Bacterial small subunit ribosomal RNA", at positions 1300 to 1500 of the family's 1533-position model. The record is from RNAcentral.